Molecule: ribosomal RNA, 253 nt
Filed under: uncultured Pseudomonadota bacterium
Lineage: Bacteria; Pseudomonadati; Pseudomonadota
Description: uncultured proteobacterium partial 16S ribosomal RNA
Rfam family: Bacterial small subunit ribosomal RNA
Source: RNAcentral
UACGUAGGGUGCAAGCGUUAAUCGGAAUUACUGGGCGUAAAGCGAGCGCAGGCGGUUUGUUAAGUCAGAUGUGAAAGCCCCGAGCUCAACUUGGGAAUUGCGUUUGAAACUGGCAGGCUAGAGUGUGUCAGAGGGGGGUAGAAUUCCAUGUGUAGCGGUGAAAUGCGUAGAGAUGUGGAGGAAUACCGGUGGCGAAGGCGGCCCCCUGGACAAAGACUGACGCUCAGGUGCGAAAGCGUGGGGAGCAAACAGG